GAGGUACUCCCUCCGUUUCGAAUUACUCGUCGCAGAAAUAGAUGUAUCUAGAUGUAUUUUAGUUCUAGAUACAUCCAUUUUUACGACGAGUAAUUUGGAACGAAAAGAGUAGUAU
Triticum aestivum (bread wheat) is the source of this 115-nucleotide non-coding RNA. The record is from Rfam. NCBI's taxonomy places the organism in Eukaryota, Viridiplantae, Streptophyta, Magnoliopsida, Poales, Poaceae.